This 469-nucleotide long non-coding RNA is filed under the name Zea mays. RNAcentral describes it as "long non-coding RNA (ZMAY_LNC003470)". Lineage: Eukaryota; Viridiplantae; Streptophyta; Magnoliopsida; Poales; Poaceae. The record is from RNAcentral.
GUUCCGGUGACAAGCAUCACCUGGUACGUCCAUCCUUAUCUUACGUUCCCGCUGUUCGAAACCGAUGAACGAAACCCAAGCUAUCUGUGUUCGAAUAUGAUCUGAUCUAUUCGUGUAAAACGUCGACGGCUUGCACUGCGCGCCGCGCGAGCCAGCAGCCGCUGCUCCACCGAGGCGGCCGCGCCGCUUUGUUAGCGCUUAUGCCCCAAUCGAGGCGUUAACCGACCGCUUAGCGCAUAUUGCCACUUUUUUGGAACCCUAGCUAAUUUUACUAGAUUUCUUUGUUACAGCAAGAUGUUCGAAUACCAAAACUUUGUUAGGUGUAGACUGAAGCUGAAGAGUAAAGUGCUGGACGUGAAGGAUGGUAGAGCGAAGAAAAAGAAGAUGAAGUACCAGCGUCAGGAGUCGUCUCAGAUUGGGCACGAUGAGCUCCACAAAAGUUUUUCUCGUUAUUACACUGGCCAAUCUU